UAGGGAAUAUUGGACAAUGGGUGCAAGCCUGAUCCAGCCAUGCCGCGUGCAGGAAGAAGGCCUUCUGGGUCGUAAACUGCUUUUGCCGGGGGAUAAAAUAGCUAUGCGUAGCGAAUUGAAGGUACCUGGUGAAUAAGCCACGGCUAACUACGUGCCAGCAGCCGCGGUAAUACGUAGGUGGCAAGCGUUGUCCGGAUUUAUUGGGUUUAAAGGGUGCGUAGGCGGUCAAAUAAGUCAGUGGUGAAAUACGGCAGCUUAACUGUCGAGGUGCCAUUGAUACUGCUUGACUUGAGUACUGAUGAGGUAGGCGGAAUGGACGGUGUAGCGGUGAAAUGCUUAGAGAUCGUCCAGAACACCGAUAGCGAAGGCAGCUUACUAAGGAGUAACUGACGCUGAGGCACGAAAGUGUGGGGAUCAAACAGG
RNAcentral lists this ribosomal RNA (423 nucleotides) under uncultured bacterium. RNAcentral's name for it is "bacterial SSU rRNA". It matches the Rfam family "Bacterial small subunit ribosomal RNA", at positions 355 to 776 of the family's 1533-position model. The record is from RNAcentral.